CAGUUUUACUAGAGCUAGCUAAGUGUCUUUGAUAUCGGUAACACAGUCUGCUCGUAACAUAGCUAACGUCCCCCCAAAAUGCAAAACCCAAAACCCAUGGACACAGUGCGAGAACUAAUUGCGAUUGAUUAGACAUGCCUCCUCUGUCUCUCAUCAGAACUAGAAUGGCUGAGCAAUCAAAGUUUCUGCACCGACGAUGUUCUUUCUGUCCACCAGCGAGCCACUGAGAAAGCCAAUGAGACACAACCAGCAGAAACAAGGUGUUGUGUUGUUAUCAUAAAAUUGUUAAAUCGUUAUUCAGUUACUUCCCUUUCUCUGUGACGGAAUAGUAUUUCAUGCUCCAUUGUACAGGAGACAGGAUAAGGCAUUCCACCCUCUUUGAGAAGCACUGGAGGUUGUAUCUAGUGGCUUUGAAUGUUAUAGAACAGUCUUGUUGUUAUUACACAAUUAUAAGAAGUUGACCUCAAAAUAUCUCAUACUUUUGUGGGAUGAUAUGAUCUGAGCAUUGACCGUUGUUGAGAGUUUCACCCAAAAGUCAACGGCUUAUGGUAUUUGUACUUAAAUGUUUACUUCUAACAUUUCUGGACAGACAACCGAUAGGGAGGAUAAGAAUGACGUCCCAUCCAAGAAGAAUAAAAGAAGGAGAAGAACAAUUAAUAAGCGGAAUCACAAGAAGAAGAGUGGAGAACUCUCUACAGCAAGCAGUGGCUCAUAUUCAAAUACUAUCUACCCCAGUGAUCUCCUGAAAAAUGCUGAGAGUACUCCUCACACGUAUGACCUCACUCCCUUUGUUCCCAGUGAGACCCAGUCACUCAGGUCUACAUGCUCUGUGAGGAGGUGCAGUGUCAGCUGGAGGGGUCUUUUGUGUGGCUGGACGACCUCUAGACCCUCACCGAUUGGCCCUUCUGCGUGGACAGAAGAGCAGACCUCUCCAACUGGGAGUAUAAAUUGCUCUACAGAGAAGACAUCGCUAGGCAGCCAUCUUCCUCCAGCAUUGUCAUUUCCUCAGGCAUGCAGGCCACUCAGAAAAGGCUGUGCCAAUGUUCCAGUGCCUGCUGGACUUCAUCUUCUUCAAGCCAGACACUGUCAAGGACCUAUCCACCAGACAACAGGCCUUCCCCGUCAACACCACCUCAUAAGAUUGCCUGCUGCAGUUGUUCGAGAGAUGUCCAGUUUGCAGCCGAACAUGCAGCAUAGAGAAGUCCAGAAAGGAGGCCUUCAUCAGCCACAUGUUGGCAAGUAUCUGGCCAGCAACCUUCACCUGUCAGCAGCAAAAGCUUUCACAGGCUCAUCAUUUGUACAAAUAUAG
Molecule: long non-coding RNA, 1309 nt
Filed under: Salmo trutta (river trout)
Lineage: Eukaryota; Metazoa; Chordata; Actinopteri; Salmoniformes; Salmonidae
Description: lncRNA (ENSSTUG00000029835.1)
Source: RNAcentral